This 402-nucleotide ribosomal RNA is filed under the name bacterium. RNAcentral's name for it is "partial 16S ribosomal RNA". It matches the Rfam family "Bacterial small subunit ribosomal RNA", at positions 355 to 776 of the family's 1533-position model. The record is from RNAcentral.
UGGGGAAGUUUGCACAAUGGGGGAAACCCUGAUGCAGCGACGCCGCGUGAUUUAGAAGGCCUUCGGGUUGUAAAAAUCUUUUUUACGGGAUGAAAAUGACAGUACCGUAAGAAUAAGGUCCGGCUAAAUACGUGCCAGCAGCCGCGGUAAUACGUAUGGACCGAGCGUUGUCCGGAAUCAUUGGGCGUAAAGGGUACGUAGGCGGCCUAGUAAGUUAGAAGUGAAAUAAUAUAGCUCAACUAUAUAAAGCUUUUAAAACUGCUAGGCUUGAGAGAUGGAAGGGAAAGUGGAAUUCCUAGUGUAGCGGUGAAAUGCGCAGAUAUUAGGAAGAAUACCGGUGGCGAAGGCGACUUUCUGGUCAUCAUCUGACGCUGCGGUACGAAAGCGUGGGUAGCAAACAGG